Molecule: long non-coding RNA, 1187 nt
Filed under: Elaeis guineensis (African oil palm)
Lineage: Eukaryota; Viridiplantae; Streptophyta; Magnoliopsida; Arecales; Arecaceae
Description: long non-coding RNA (EGUI_LNC030401)
Source: RNAcentral
CAUUAGCCAAUAAGCACCAGGCCUUUGGGCCUCCAAUGAUCAUUGAACUAAUGGACUCAUUAUCACUCACUUAAUGGGAGGCUAUGACUUAGUUAUCAUUAUAAUUUAAUCAUUUUAGGGACCUAAUAAUUUUGAGGAUUUUAUUAAAGAAUAGUAGAGAAGAUAUCAUCCAGUUAAUUUUAAUCCUCCCACUGACUUCACCAAGUCAGAUUAAAAAAAAGAUUUAAUUAAAGCUGGCAUUAGGAGCACCUAAAUCAGUCACACUGAUUUACCUAAUGACAUGGGUGAGCUCUAAUCACCAAGUGAUCUAAUUAAAAUCUAACUUACCAAAUUGGCCAGGUAAGUGAGAUCAGUGGUGGGGAUUUGUCACUAACUCGUCAAUGAUCGAAUCAAUGCGAGUAGCUUCUGCUUAAGAACCACUGGUCAAAACUGCCGAACUUACCUUAGACACCAACCGAUUCAUUAGUUUUAAUUUUGAUCAACAUAGUAAAUAGGGCUCUACCGCGUAGCCAUGAAUUAAGUCCAUCUUGGUCUAGUUAAAGACAUGGACCCAUUCAACUACAACUAUUGAAGUUGAGUCUAAAGUAUCCUUGACCUAAUCUAAUUCGACUUUUGAUUAGAUUUGAUCAAUUACUCCAUUUAGUCCAUUUUUAAGCUAACCUUAGGUCUAACCCAAUUAUGGACCUAAUUCAUCUAACCCAUUGACCCACAAGUUUAUGCAAUUGUCUUAGGUCUUAAUUCACAAUUCUAGACCCACUAGACAACACUUAAUUCUUUUAAUUAAGUACUUGGGCUGAUGGGUCAGGGUUUGGUAUUUCGAAAAUAAUUUUCAAAUUUUGAAAGAUUUUAUUUUCUGUUCACCAAAUGUGUUGACUCAUUUCACAAACGGAUCAGCACAAUUCAUAAACAGCAAUCCUAUUGCUCAUUUCAUAAUAGAAAAUAACUCAAAAUAAAUCAUGAAUUUUCUUUUAGAUCUAAUCUAAUACAUUCAUGAUAAAUUUCUUAAUUAAAUCCUUUCGCUGCUUCAUCGACAUGGGAUAUAAUUGCAUCGGCACCCCUACCGCCAUAGGAGAUCCCAUCGAAUGGGAAGAGAGGGCCUUUAAACCCUACUUUUCUCCUAUGACCAGACGGCCAUGGCAACCAACCCAAUUAGAUUACUUGCUACUUGGAUCAAGUAUAUCUAAAUA